RNAcentral lists this ribosomal RNA (305 nucleotides) under uncultured bacterium. RNAcentral describes it as "partial 16S ribosomal RNA". It matches the Rfam family "Bacterial small subunit ribosomal RNA", at positions 333 to 655 of the family's 1533-position model. The record is from RNAcentral.
GGGUACCUACGGGGGGCAGCAGUGGGGGAUAUUGCACAAUGGGGGGAACCCUGAUGCAGCGACGCCGCGUGGGUGAAGGAGCGUUUCGGCGCGUAAAGCCCUAUCGGCAGGGAAGAAGAUGACGGUACCUGACCAAGAAGCCCCGGCUAACUACGUGCCAGCAGCCGCGGUAAUACGUAGGGGGCAAGCGUUAUCCGGAUUUACUGGGGGUAAAGGGGGCGCAGACGGCGAUGCAAGCCAGGAGUGAAAGCCCGGGGCCCAACCCCGGGACUGCCCUUGGAACUGCGUGGCUGGCGUGCAGGGGG